This 64-nucleotide transfer RNA is filed under the name Raeta sp. Its description in RNAcentral is "tRNA-Gly". The record is from RNAcentral. Lineage: Eukaryota; Metazoa; Mollusca; Bivalvia; Venerida; Anatinellidae.
GCGGCAAUAGUAUAAGUGUAGUAUCUUUGUCUUCCAAACAAAAGGUCCUAAAUAGGUUGCUGUA